GAUGAAGAACGUAGCGAAAUGCGAUACUUGGUGUGAAUUGCAGAAUCCCGUGAACCAUCGAGUCUUUGAACGCAAGUUGCGCCCGAAGCCAUUAGGCCGAGGGCAUGCCUGCCUGGCGUCACACGUCGUUGCCCCCCCAUCUACUCCUUCGGGAUUGCGGGGGGCGGAUGAUGGCCUCCCGUGCGCCUCGUCGCGCGGUUGGCAUAAAUGCCAAGUCCUCGGCGACGCACGCCACGACAAUCGGUGGUUGCGAAACCUCGGUUGCCCGUCGUGUGCGGUCGUCGCGCAUCGAGGGCUCGAAAAAAUUGCCGGGCUCCGGCUCGGCUUUCAACGCGACCCCAGGUCAGGCGGGGUUACCCGCUGAAUUUAAGCAUAUCAAUAAGCGGAGGA
This 390-nucleotide unclassified non-coding RNA is filed under the name soil metagenome. Its description in RNAcentral is "partial contains 5.8S ribosomal RNA, internal transcribed spacer 2, and large subunit ribosomal RNA". The stretch from base 1 to 121 matches the Rfam family "5.8S ribosomal RNA", at positions 35 to 154 of the family's 154-position model. The record is from RNAcentral.